Molecule: long non-coding RNA, 605 nt
Filed under: Ananas comosus (pineapple)
Lineage: Eukaryota; Viridiplantae; Streptophyta; Magnoliopsida; Poales; Bromeliaceae
Description: long non-coding RNA (ACOM_LNC003507)
Source: RNAcentral
AUCGAUCGAAACAUAUCCAAUUUUAUCCAUAUUCUCUACUAGUACUAGAUGUAGGCACUACAACAGAAUUAGGUUAUAGGAACACAUGUUUGGGACACUUUUCAGUAAGUGUCCCAUUUAUGCUAAAACUUAAAAAAACAUCUACUAAUGCCUAAAUAUAAAGCCCAAUCCAACCAAAAAUAAAAGAUUACUCUACUCAACCCACCACACCCAGUCCAUUUGGCCCGAUUACAAACAAAAAAGAAAAAAAAAAAGAAAAAUCAAUUACCAUAUUUUCUUCUCUCUUUACUCAAUCUACUGAAAUUCUAGACGAAGAGCCAUUCCUGUCGUCCUCCUCCGCCACCGCAGCCAACGAGAUAGAGUUUCGGCGGUUGUUAAAUUCUUAAAUAAGUUGUUGGUAAAUUAGCAGCACUCUUUUAGAUUAUAGCAACACUCUUUAACUGUCACUAUAUACCUAGCGACCCCACAUAUAGCAACAUUUUUUAAAAGUGUCGGUAAUUUUAGCUAGCAGCACUUUUUUGACAUGUACCUAUAUUUAAAAGUGUCGCUAUAGACCAUUUUUGUUGUAGUGAGGCAUUAUCACUGAGCAAUGGUAACGUAUAGUU